RNAcentral lists this long non-coding RNA (2013 nucleotides) under Lonchura striata (white-rumped munia). RNAcentral's name for it is "domestica (Bengalese finch) lncRNA (ENSLSDG00000005938.1)". The record is from RNAcentral. Lineage: Eukaryota; Metazoa; Chordata; Aves; Passeriformes; Estrildidae.
AUGAGAGGGGUCAGUAGUCCCAGGGGUCGGUGGUCCCGGGGGAUUGAUGGUAGCAGGGAUCGGCAGUACCAGGGAUCAGUGGUGGCAGAGGUCAGGGGCCGCAGGGCUCGGUGGCCACAGGAGCCGCUGUGGCAAGGCUUGGUGGUCACAAGAGCUGCUGUGGUGAGGCUCGGUGGUCUCAGGGCUCGGUGGUCACAGGGCUCGGUGGUCUCGGUGCUCUCGGGGCUCGGUGGUCUCGGGGCUCUCGGUGGUCUCGGGGCUCUCGGUGGUCUCGGGGCUCGGUGGUCUCGGUGGUCUCGGGUGCCGCUGUGGCGGGGCUCGGUGCUCUCGGUGGUCUCGGGCUCGGUGGUCUCGGUGGUCUCGGGCUCGGUGGUCUCGGUGGUCUCGGUGGUCUCGGUGCUCGGUGGUCUCGGGUGCCGCUGUGGCGGGGCCCGCGGGGUCCCCGAGUCCCGCCCCGCCUGCAAUCCCCGCAGUGCCCACAGGGCGGUGCCCGGGAGCCGCUCCCAGCCCGGCCCGCAUUUUGGGAAGUUUUUAAUAAAAUUCUUCGCUUGGCCGCAAUUCCCGGCGGAUUUUGUGUCCCGGGGAGCUCCGUGUGCUGGCUGCAGGCUGCUCUGCCGCAGGGCUGCAGAGCAGGGCGUGCUGCGGCCGCGCUGCUCGGGUUCCACGGCAAGCAGGNCGCAGGGCUCGGUGGCCACAGGAGCCGCUGUGGCAAGGCUUGGUGGUCACAAGAGCUGCUGUGGUGAGGCUCGGUGGUCUCAGGGCUCGGUGGUCACAGGGCUCGGUGGUCUCGGGUGCCGCUGUGGUGGGACUCGGUGGUCUCAGGGCUCGGUGGUCUCGGUGGUCUCAGGGCUCAGUGCUCUCGGUGGUCUCGGGUGCCGGUGUGGCGGGGCUCGGUGGUCUCGGGCUCGGUGGGCUCGGGGCUCGGGGCUCGGUGCUCUCGGUGCUCUCGGUGGUCUCGGUGGUCUCGGUGGUCUCGGGUGCCGCUGUGGUGGGGCUCGGUGCUCUCGGGGCUCGGUGGUCUCGGGGCUCUCGGUGGUCUCGGGGCUCUCGGUGGUCUCGGGGCUCGGUGGUCUCGGUGGUCUCGGGUGCCGCUGUGGCGGGGCUCGGUGCUCUCGGUGGUCUCGGGCUCGGUGGUCUCGGUGGUCUCGGGCUCGGUGGUCUCGGUGGUCUCGGUGGUCUCGGUGCUCGGUGGUCUCGGGUGCCGCUGUGGCGGGGCCCGCGGGGUCCCCGAGUCCCGCCCCGCCUGCAAUCCCCGCAGUGCCCACAGGGCGGUGCCCGGGAGCCGCUCCCAGCCCGGCCCGCAUUUUGGGAAGUUUUUAAUAAAAUUCUUCGCUUGGCCGCAAUUCCCGGCGGAUUUUGUGUCCCGGGGAGCUCCGUGUGCUGGCUGCAGGCUGCUCUGCCGCAGGGCUGCAGAGCAGGGCGUGCUGCGGCCGCGCUGCUCGGGUUCCACGGCAAGCAGAGGGCGAGCUGAGGAGAGCGAGGCGAGCCCGGACCAUGAGCUGUGCUUGGAUCCAGUCAUGGAAUCACCAGGGCUGGGAAAGAACUCCGAGGCCAGGAAGUCCAGCCCUGCCAAGCCCACCUCUAACCCAUGUCCCCAAGCGCCGCAUCCACCCAUCCUUUAAAUCCCCCCAACCAUGGUGACUCCACCAUUGCCUUGAAGCCGUGGACAAACCUUUUGGAGAAGAAAUUUCCCCCAAUAUCCCAUUUAAACCUGCCCUGGAGAAACUUGAGGCUGUUCCCUCUCAUCCUUCACUUGUUACCCGGGAGAAGAGGCCGAUUGCCCCGGCUCCAGCCUCUCUGGAGGCGAUUCUCAGGCUGGAGCCGGGAGGUGAUGCACGCCCGGGAUGCAGGGCGAGGAUGCUCCCGCUGCCCCCUCCAGCGCAGGGAACUCGGCGACCUUCCAGGCCUUUUCCAACCUAAACAACUCCGCGAUUCCCCGAAUCCCAGCCCUAAUGGGGCUCAUGUGAUGAGGUUUGCUCUCUGCAGAGCACUCAGCGUUUCCCCGGCGCUGCG